UUUUUCAGUAGUUUAAGACAUGCAAAUCGUUGUUUCCAAAGUCCUUAUAAAUUAAUAUUUUUAAUAUUAAUGGGAUCAGGGGAUAAGGUGUAGAGGUGAGUAUGUUAAAUAAGAUACCCUGUAGUCUUCUUAGCUAGGAGAUAUAAAGUAAAGGAAAAUUUCUGCUAUAGGAUUCUAUUUAAUUUGAUUAGGUAGUUGAUAGGGUAACGGCCUACCAAGCCAACGAUCAAAAGUCAAGUUUGAAAGAACCUCUGGCCACAUUGGGGAUGAAAUCUCCCAAGUAGUAAUUACACUACCAGCAGUCGAGAAUAUUAGUCAAUGCUCGUAAGAGUGAACUAGCUAACUGAAAUCAUAGAAUUUCUUCAAAUUCAUGAUGUCGUAAGGGAAAAUAAUGAUAAUACCUUACUAUGAGUGUCGUCCAAAUCUGGUGCCAGAAGACUCGGUAAGACCAGAGACGCAAACGUUAAUCAUCAUAAACAGGCGUAAAGGGUUUGUAGGCAGCUUUUAUAAGAUAAUAAAAAAUCUAAAUUGAAAGCUAGAAUCAAAAAGAGGUUAUAGUGUAUAACGCCUAGAGGAGGGCUGAUAUCCAUAGAUCCUAGGCAGAAUACUCAGGGCGAAGGCCACUCUCCACUAAUGAUUGACGCUGAGAAACGAAGGUUAGGGUAGGAAAUAGGAU
RNAcentral lists this ribosomal RNA (676 nucleotides) under Ganoderma lucidum. RNAcentral's name for it is "partial small subunit ribosomal RNA". It matches the Rfam family "Bacterial small subunit ribosomal RNA", at positions 36 to 778 of the family's 1533-position model. Lineage: Eukaryota; Fungi; Basidiomycota; Agaricomycetes; Polyporales; Polyporaceae. The record is from RNAcentral.